AUGAAUUUUCAUCGGCCAAAUUCAAAAUGUCAAUUUGAACGAUACUACAUACUUGCUUAAUUAUGCAGCUGUUGGUGUUAUAAAGCUGGUACAAUUAGAAUAGGUCGAAUUUGUCCCUUUUCUUGCCCAGGACGUUUCAAUUUGUCCAUUAUGAAAUUCAAGUUUGUGUGUGUGUGUUUUUUUUAAAUUCUCUAAUCGAUAAAGUCCUAUAAACUAGUAAGCGAGAAUAGGCGGACCCCAAUACAAUCGGGAUUUGAUCAAGUUGUAGACAUAUGUUUGAAUUGUUUAUUAUCAGUUCGUUAUUAAGAAAAACAGCUUUCUUUCACCUAAUAUGUUGUGAUUUAAUUCUUAAAAAAUUUAGAAUUCUUCCCAAAUCGCAGUCAAUCCAAGAUAUAACUGCGUUUGGCGUUAGACGAGGAAUGAAAAGUUUCUGUUGGAAACCAGUCGAAGUAUUUUGUUUUCGUAAUUUACGGCGUUUUUGAAACAAAAGACCCGUGGGUCGAUACAGGAAGGAUAAGAAGCCGGGCGUUGGUGCGCUAGACACCUACCUUCCAUCGUAAAAAAAACCUUUACCCCAAGCCAAAGAAUACCCGGUUCGUUUUGGGUACAAUAUUCUUUUGACGUGGAAUGCAACCUUUUGCCCAGGAAGGUCGAUAGCCUUCCAGCCGCCGACGUGACUCGGACAUGGUCACAAUGGAAUGCCCCUGGGCCGUUAAUAAUCCCACUGACUUUCUCUUACAAAUGAUUCCGACAUGACACAAAAGAGUAUCGUUUAUUACAACGGGGAAGAUUCGUUUCUAAAAGCAUUGGAAAUUGUUGGAAAAUUAGAUCUGGCGCGUUCACAAGCCAUUAGCCCAGUUUAACUAAGGUACAUUUAUAUAAUAAUAGCCUUUUAAUACACCCAAAAUAUGUUUCCGUUAAUAAACUACAAUUACAUUU
Molecule: long non-coding RNA, 939 nt
Organism: Cimex lectularius (bed bug)
Lineage: Eukaryota; Metazoa; Arthropoda; Insecta; Hemiptera; Cimicidae
Exons: 2
Source: RefSeq, a predicted model, not a curated record